This 334-nucleotide ribosomal RNA is filed under the name uncultured bacterium. RNAcentral's name for it is "bacterial SSU rRNA". It matches the Rfam family "Bacterial small subunit ribosomal RNA", at positions 32 to 342 of the family's 1533-position model. The record is from RNAcentral.
AAUCAACGCUGGCGGCGUGCCUCAGACAUGCAAGUCGAACGCGAAAGUCUCCUUCGGGGGGACAAGUAGAGUGGCGCACGGGUGAGUAACACGUAGGUAAUCUACCUUCGGAUGGGGAAUAACAACCGGAAACGGUUGCUAAUACCGCAUAAUGCAGCGGCACCUAAUGGUGACAGUUGUUAAAGCGGGGGAUCGAAAGACCUCGCGUCUGAAGAGGAGCCUGCGGCGGAUUAGCUUAGGNGGUAAGGUAACGGCUUACCAAGGCGACGAUCCGUAGCCGGCCUGAGAGGGCGGUCGGGCCACACUGACACUGACAUACGGGUCAGACUCCUAC